CUACGGGGCGCAGCAGUGGGGAAUAUUGGGCAAUGGGCGAAAGCCUGACCCAGCAACGCCGCGUGAAGGAAGAAGGUUUUCGGAUCGUAAACUUCUAUCCCGGGUGAAGAUAAUGACGGUAGCCCGGAAGGAAGCCCCGGCUAACUACGUGCCAGCAGCCGCGGUAAUACGUAGGGGGCAAGCGUUGUCCGGAAUGAUUGGGCGUAAAGGGCGCGUAGGCGGCCUUGUAAGUCCGGUGUGAAAUUCCUGCUUUUAAGGUAGGAAUUGCAUUGGAAACUGCAGGGCUUGAGUGCAGGAGAGGUAAGCGGAAUUCCCGGUGUAGCGGUGAAAUGCGUAGAGAUCGGGAGGAACACCAGUGGCGAAGGCGGCUUACUGGACUGUAACUGACGCUGAGGCGCGAAAGUGUGGGGAGCAAACAGGAUUAGAUACCCCCGUAGUC
RNAcentral lists this ribosomal RNA (439 nucleotides) under uncultured bacterium. RNAcentral's name for it is "partial 16S ribosomal RNA". It matches the Rfam family "Bacterial small subunit ribosomal RNA", at positions 339 to 795 of the family's 1533-position model. The record is from RNAcentral.